UACGGAGGAUCCGAGCGUUAUCCGGAUUUAUUGGGUUUAAAGGGUGCGUAGGCGGCGCGACAAGUUGGGUGUGAAAUCCCUCGGCUCAACCGAGGAACUGCGCCCAAAACUGUCGUGCUCGAGGGAGACAGAGGUGAGCGGAACUUAGGGUGGAGCGGUGAAAUGCGUUGAUAUCCUAAGGAACACCGGUGGCGAAAGCGGCUCACUGGGUCUCUUCUGACGCUGAGGCACGAAAGCUAGGGUAGCGAACGGG
Molecule: ribosomal RNA, 253 nt
Filed under: uncultured bacterium
Lineage: Bacteria
Description: partial 16S ribosomal RNA
Rfam family: Bacterial small subunit ribosomal RNA
Source: RNAcentral